Molecule: ribosomal RNA, 101 nt
Filed under: uncultured bacterium
Lineage: Bacteria
Description: partial 16S ribosomal RNA
Rfam family: Bacterial small subunit ribosomal RNA
Source: RNAcentral
CAACGCCGCGUGAGUGAUGAAGACCCUAGGGUUGUAAAGCUCUGUCGGAGGGGAAGAAAAAUUGACGGUACCCUCCAAGAAAGCCCCGGCUAACUACGUGC